UACGUAGGGUGCAAGCGUUGUCCGGAAUUAUUGGGCGUAAAGAGCUCGUAGGCGGUUUGUCGCGUCUGCUGUGAAAACCCGAGGCUCAACCUCGGGCCUGCAGUGGGUACGGGCAGACUAGAGUGCGGUAGGGGAGAUUGGAAUUCCUGGUGUAGCGGUGGAAUGCGCAGAUAUCAGGAGGAACACCGGUGGCGAAGGCGGGAUCCUGGGCCAGUACUGACGCUGAGGAGCGAAAGCGUGGGGAGCAAACAGG
This 253-nucleotide ribosomal RNA is filed under the name uncultured bacterium. RNAcentral's name for it is "partial 16S ribosomal RNA". It matches the Rfam family "Bacterial small subunit ribosomal RNA", at positions 524 to 776 of the family's 1533-position model. The record is from RNAcentral.